RNAcentral lists this ribosomal RNA (422 nucleotides) under uncultured bacterium. RNAcentral's name for it is "bacterial SSU rRNA". It matches the Rfam family "Bacterial small subunit ribosomal RNA", at positions 355 to 774 of the family's 1533-position model. The record is from RNAcentral.
UAGGGAAUAUUGGGCAAUGGAUGCAAGUCUGACCCAGCCAUGCCGCGUGCCGGAUGAAGGCCCUCAGGGUUGUAAACGGCUUUUAUUCGUGAAUAAGAGCACGGAUGCGUCUGUGUGUGACGGUACCGAAUGAAUAAGCACCGGCUAACCCCGUGCCAGCAGCCGCGGUAAUACGGAGGGUGCGAGCGCUUUCCGGAUUUAUUGGGUUUAAAGGGUGCGUAGGUGGCUUUUUAAGUCAGUGGUGAAAUACAGCCGCUCAACGGUUGAGGUGCCAUUGAUACUGAAAAGAGUGAGACAAGUGGAGGCUGCCGGAGUGGAUGGUGUAGCGGUGAAAUGCAUAGAUAUCAUCAGGAACACCGAUUGCGAAGGCAGGUGGCUACGUUUGAUUUGACACUGAGGCACGAAAGCAUGAGGAGAAAAAA